Molecule: ribosomal RNA, 253 nt
Filed under: uncultured bacterium
Lineage: Bacteria
Description: partial 16S ribosomal RNA
Rfam family: Bacterial small subunit ribosomal RNA
Source: RNAcentral
UACAGGGGGUGCAAACGUUGUUCGGAAUUACUGGGCGUAAAGCGCGUGUAGGCUGCUUCGCAAGUCGGGUGUGAAAGCCCUGGGCUCAACCUAGGAAGUGCACUCGAAACUGCGAAGCUUGAGUCCUGGAGAGGAAGGCGGAAUUCUCGGUGUAGAGGUGAAAUUCGUAGAUAUCGAGAGGAACACCGGUGGCGAAGGCGGCCUUCUGGACAGUGACUGACGCUGAGACGCGAAAGCGUGGGGAGCAAACAGG